This is a long non-coding RNA of Anopheles funestus (African malaria mosquito), 993 nucleotides long. RefSeq lists it as uncharacterized. The record is from RefSeq and is a predicted model, not a curated record. The transcript is spliced from 3 exons. NCBI's taxonomy places the organism in Eukaryota, Metazoa, Arthropoda, Insecta, Diptera, Culicidae.
CGUAAGAUCUAAUGCAAUGGAACGCUAAAAUUGUACUUCAAUUGCUUUUAUUUUAUUAAAUACAAUUUAUCCCAAACGUCCAAGGUUUUAAAAAGCUGCAAUCGCCAUUUUUGUUUAGUUGACAGUUCUUACAUGCUAAUAUGUAAACAACAAUGGUGGACUACACGUGUUAAUCUUCCGCGUUAUUUUUGUUCGCGGUUUCGAUGCAAAAUACCAGCAAAUGGUCAUAUUUUUUCAUUUAGUAAAACACAAUUCCGAAAGAAAGAUGUGUCUUGUGGCGUGUGCGGUUUAUACGGUGGAGCAGGUUAAUAUCCGAAAAGGACGAAAUGCUUCAAGUUUAGCUGCACAGGACACUACGAAGUUCCGGCUGGUUCAAUAUUUCAUCUCUCGCAGGGUGCUAUUGUUCUCGUCUAAUAAUGCACGGACAAACUUACAUAUCCAAUCGUUUAUAAAAGAUCUUCAAGCAUCAAAUUCAAUCAACUGCCAGAACGACAACGUUUGGACGUAAUGGGCAAUUAAGACGCAAUCUUGGCCUGUUGGUUGGUUAACUGAACUAUAUUUGGAUCGGUGUUAAAUGGUAGUUCGAUCCGCCCGUUCACUAACAGGUUAUUAGUGUUGCAAAUGAUUCAGCUCAUGCCUUAGCUUUUUGGGUAGCUUAAUGGUGUAUCUUUAAGGAUACUUUCUCCUGGUUCUGGUCUGGUCUUGAAGUAACAGUGAAAGAAGCCGCAAGAAUGGAUAUAAAGGACAACUUGAGCGUGAGUUAGACGUAAGCCAACCGAAGAAUAUUUGUAUCUGAGCCCGUCAUGUUGUUCAGCUGUGUGAGACAAUUAAUCCCCUUAAUGUAGAUCCAGUAACUGCUCAUGUUCAAUCAGCCUAGAUGGAGCUAAAUACCCAACAAUUGAAUGUCUUCAAUUUCUUCAUAAUUUAAUGAUUUAAUUUAAUUUCAAUAAAUUACAGUUCGUUCACGAACCGGCCUCGAUGAACACUACCAUG